Molecule: long non-coding RNA, 1631 nt
Organism: Trichosurus vulpecula (common brushtail)
Lineage: Eukaryota; Metazoa; Chordata; Mammalia; Diprotodontia; Phalangeridae
Exons: 2
Source: RefSeq, a predicted model, not a curated record
CCAGAGCUCCCUCUGCCCGGCAAGUCCCCAGCUCCUCUCCGUCCCUCUGUCGGUCCUCGGCGCUUUUUGCCCACCCUGGACUGCCCCUGUUCCCCUGCGCGCACGCAUUUAUGCUUUUUGUGAAAUUCUUAUAUUCCAGGCACCGGGUGAAGGGGGUGCUUAAGAGCCCGACUCGCGCAAAGCUGGGCAGAGCCAAGUGCUGCUGAGGCCUCCCGGGCUCCGGUGGUAGCCGCCACCCCCAGCCCCCUACCUUCCUCCUGCUACUUUUCCCCGAGACUUGACUUUGGACACCCCUGUCUCCUCCACCGAAGCUUGAGGACCCCCUCCCUUACCAUUCCCACCAUUCCACCGCCACCUCCAGGUCGGCACUAGUGCUGAGAGCUCCAGGCCCCCGAAAGUUUUAGUUCCCGUCCCCCUCUUCCUUUUGUGUGCCUGGCUGCCAGGACAAAGGGAACGUACUGUGGCUGUGUGUGCCCGGGUCGGGCUCCGGCGCGAGCUGCCCGAGCAAGGGACGCUUGGGGCUUAAUGGCAUUUGGAUACCUGAGAUUUCCGGCUAGCUCCUUAAUGAAAGAUAGAUAUUUUUUUAAUCACGAUGACUUUUUUUUUUUUUGGCCCUGCAGUUACGUAGAGCCGGCUAAACUUUGACACUGUUGACAAUUUUUCACUGAAGUGUUGUGUUUGUUUCUGAUUAAACCCACCAGGAUAAGCAAAGGAAGGAAAAGAGACUACAAGGCGCUUGGCUCUCAAACGCAUUCAUCGUUGGGUGUUUUUUUUUUUUCUUCUGGGUCUGUUUCCUUCAUUUCCUUAGAUUGAAAUUGCUUUUGCUCUUGUCCACUGAGCACGUUUCUGUUAGCAGUGUCAGCAAACAGUCAAGCCCAACAAACCAGGGACCCAAACUGAAGAGCACAGAAUAAGAUAUGGCAAAUAACCCUUGAAAAACAAAAUGCAAAGCAAAGUUUCUUUAUGCAUGUGGGAAAUAAGUCAAACCUUGAUUUUUUUUUGUUUCAAAAUGACUGAGUUUUUAAAUAAAAUCGUAAAGUGAAUAAUAGUUUCAAGAUGUAUUUGGUAAUAAUUUACCUGGAUCCAAGUGAUGAAAUGUGGCCAUGUAUUUUGGAAUUUAUUUUGAAGAAAAACUGACUGCCCUAAAGCUUAACAGUAUUUAGGAAGUAUGCUUCAUGUUGGUUGUUUUGUUUUCAAAAAUUAUAUAUAUGUAUAUAUACACACAUAUAUGUUAUUAAAACUCUUUAUCCCUGUAGGCACAGCCAGUCUUCACGCUUGAGAAAUCAUUUCAAACUACAGUGUGUUUAGCAGUUAUUUUCAAGUUUAACUCAUAGGGUGUAUACCAGACACCAAAAUUAUAAAUAUCUACAGUGCUUUGCGGAUAGUAGGUGCUUCACAGAUGUUUGGUAUUGGGGGAAAAAUAAGAGCCAUCAAUAAAAUGAAAGGUGUACUAAUGUCUGCAGCUGUUAGCAAGUUAAGAAGAUUUUAAAUCUGCAGCAUGCAUUCACUACUCUCCAAUCAAUUUUAAUGACUUGAUCUAUAUUAUUAUUUAAGUAAUGGUAAAGUCAUUGACUUAUUCAUAAUACUUGCUAAUUGUUUUUAAAAAUAAAUUCUACAUAUGACUAAGGAAA